This 20-nucleotide small nuclear RNA is filed under the name Arabidopsis thaliana (thale cress). RNAcentral describes it as "snRNA_18972". The record is from RNAcentral. Lineage: Eukaryota; Viridiplantae; Streptophyta; Magnoliopsida; Brassicales; Brassicaceae.
UCAAAUGGCUCGAUCUCUGA